RNAcentral lists this ribosomal RNA (229 nucleotides) under uncultured bacterium. RNAcentral's name for it is "partial 16S ribosomal RNA". It matches the Rfam family "Bacterial small subunit ribosomal RNA", at positions 524 to 752 of the family's 1533-position model. The record is from RNAcentral.
UACGUAGGGUGCGAGCGUUGUUCGGAUUUACUGGGCGUAAAGGGCGCGUAGGCGGUCGUGACAAGUCACUUGUGAAAUCUCCGGGCUUAACUCGGAACGGUCAAGUGAUACUGUCGGACUAGAGUACAGAAGGGGCAACUGGAAUUCUCGGUGUAGCGGUGAAAUGCGUAGAUAUCGAGAGGAACACCGAUGGCGAAGGCAGCCCCCUGGCUAACACUGACGCUCAGGC